Long non-coding RNA from Alexandromys fortis (reed vole), 2098 nucleotides. RefSeq lists it as uncharacterized. NCBI's taxonomy places the organism in Eukaryota, Metazoa, Chordata, Mammalia, Rodentia, Cricetidae. The transcript has 2 exons. The record is from RefSeq and is a predicted model, not a curated record.
AAAUGUAUAUAAAAGUGGAAAAAAAUCUCUCUCAAAUAAAAACCUUAAGUCUCUAUUUUUCCAAGCUAAGGGCAACGUCCUCUCUCUAGCCAGGGACAUGGCUGUGUCCUCCUACUAGACCUGAGGUUUGGGGACCAGGUUCCCUCUGCAGAUCCAUCUCCCCUUAGCCCCAUGACCACACAACAGUUCUGGAUCUCACCAUUAGGCUGGGUUCUCUGCAUAGCCUCCAGCCCCUCUCCUGGACUGUCCUUCAGAGUCACUCCACACCUACCUAGCCAAGUCUUGUCCCCACUCAACUGCUCAAGGACCAUAUCUGAAUUCUGCCUCUCCCCUACCUCUAAUCUCCUGUUCCUCUUUUGCACUAGAACAGGACUGAGCUAUCAGUCCUCAGAACCCAAUGAGCUGCCCCACUUGCCUGCAGCAUCCUCAGCCCCUGUACGCCCCAUUCAGCCUGCACAACCCAGGCGCCUCCUCUCCCUUGCAGUCUUCUGAUCCCCCUGGUGCACUGAGCACCUACUCCUGGGGUUGACUUUCCCUUUUACAGCCCUUCACAGCCACAGUGUCAACCAGCUCAAAAUCUAGUUUGUACUGACACAAGCAAUCUGUGGCCAGCACUGAGGGAAAGGGGAUAGGAGAUAAUCCUGCUGUUUGUCCCCAAAGUGGACCCAGGGAAUCUGAGGGGGAAUCAGAGGGAGACUUCUCACUGAACCUAAUUACCACAAAGCCAGCACUGCAGACAAAGGAUGAGCAGAGACCAUUACCCCACACAUUUAGGGCCUCAGCCCGGGGGGGGGGGGGGCUCUGUACUGAGCAGCAGGGAUUCCAGGUGCCUGCAUGUGAUGUGGAGGCAGGCUCUGUGUCUCACUCUGUGAGGACCAGUUCCUGGAGGAAGGAGCUAUGUGCUCAGCAGUAUUUGCUGGAGAGGGCUCUCAGCCACAGGUGAUUCUGCCUAAGAGACAUCUGGCAAGGUCAAGACAUUUUUGGUUGUGACUAUGGCAGGUGGGUGAGGUGGGGGCUGCUACUGGGUAGAGACUGUGGUACUGCUAAGUGUCCUGCAAUACUGGGCAGCCUCCAGAUGAGGAACAGCUUCCAGUCAAUGGUGCCCAGGCUGACCCUGUUGCUAAGACACCAGUGUCUUGGCACUCACCCACAAACCCAGCACUAAGGAAGUAGAGGCUGAGGGUGUGGGGGCAGGGGAUAAGGAGUGAUGUGGGAGUGUCAUAUAUCAAUCUGUUGAUUUCAUUGGUUAAGUAAUAAACACACUGCUUGGCCUCAUAGGUUAAAGCAUUGGUGGGAGGAAUAAACAGAAUAGAAUUCUGGGCGGAGGAGGAAGUGAGGUCAGACUCUGCUCUGCUCCCGGACAGCAUGGACGGAGUCCCGGAGAGACUCUGCUCUCAGGAGCACAGACACCAUGCUUCACUCUCCCAGGAUGGACGGAGGCUAGAAUCUUCCCAGGCUACUGGAAUAACCAUCUUCCCAGGACCUGCACAUGGUGCAGGGCAGAAAGAAGCCCUUCAUGAAGACCCACCUGAGUAAAUACGCCUCUGUCCCCAGCCAGUCACACCCAGCAAAUAAAUGUGGCACGCUGUUUUACUGUUUGUUGAAAGUAACACCCGACACUGAGAUGAACUACUGGGAAAGUUCCUGUCACCUUCCCAAGCCACACCACUGGCACCGCAAAAACUACGACUGCCAUGCCAGCCAUCCUGCAGGCAGGGUCGCUUUACAAAAGCGGAGGAAGGCCUCCCAUCAGACACAGAAUGAGACCCGGUGGAGCGGAGCUGGCCACUGGCAGAGUGCUCAGUGAGCAGAGGGAGACCUCUCUGCCAGCACCAGGUAAACAGCUCUGGGCAUUUGCUCCCAGGCUUGUUCUGAGAAACUGAGCUCAGUUACACCCUCUCACAGGACAGACUUUUCUAUUUUCAGGAACCACACAGGCCUACACUGCUGUGUCAUACAGGGAAGCAUCAGCUUGGAGAUUCCAGUCUCAAAUAAGGAUCAGAUUACCAUUAUUAUUUUUAUUUUUUUACAAAGAUGCCCAGAGUCUUGAUGGUGUUACCGAAUCCCAUGGCUAGGACAAUAAACACUGAAGCCAUGA